UCACCAGGUUGAUCUGCCUGACGUGGAUGCUAUUCUCUGGGGCUAAGCCAUGCAUGUUUAUGAAGCCUUUAUGGGGGAUUGACGGACGGCUCAGUGAUAGUACGAUGAUUUGAUUGGGAGCCUGGAUGUAACUGUGGGAAACUGCAGGUAAGUUCUGGGGGUGGUAGUUUGUAGCUACUGCGUACCGAGUAAGUUGUAGGCCUAUCAGCUGGUAGUUAGGGUAAUGGCCUAACUAGGCGGAGACGGGAGACGGGGGAUCAGGGUUUGAUUCCGGAGAGGGAGCCUGAA
RNAcentral lists this ribosomal RNA (288 nucleotides) under Encephalitozoon hellem. RNAcentral's name for it is "partial small subunit ribosomal RNA". It matches the Rfam family "Microsporidia small subunit ribosomal RNA", at positions 1 to 259 of the family's 1311-position model. Lineage: Eukaryota; Fungi; Microsporidia; Unikaryonidae. The record is from RNAcentral.